Molecule: ribosomal RNA, 253 nt
Filed under: uncultured bacterium
Lineage: Bacteria
Description: partial 16S ribosomal RNA
Rfam family: Bacterial small subunit ribosomal RNA
Source: RNAcentral
UACGGGGGGGGCAAGCGUUGUUCGGAAUUACUGGGCGUAAAGGGCUCGUAGGCGGCCAACUAAGUCGGAUGUGAAAUCCCCAGGCUCAACCUGGGAACUGCAUCCGAUACUGGAUGGCUUGAAUUCGGGAGAGGGAUGCAGAAUUCCAGGUGUAGCGGUGAAAUGCGUAGAUAUCUGGAGGAAUACCGGUGGCGAAGGCGGCAUCCUGGACCGACAUUGACGCUGAGGAGCGAAAGCCAGGGGAGCGAACAGG